UAGAUUUGACAAAAGAAAAAGCGAAAUUUUAAUUCCUAUUUUAGUAUACAAGUUGAUAAUUAAUAGUAAAAAGGAUGUGGAGAAACAAUCUUUUAUUUAUUUUUUUGUCCAUUUUUUAUGAAACAAAGAAGAUAUUUGAUAACUUUUAUUUGAAGUUUUGCUUUGGGUUUUUUGAUUCUAAGAAGAAGACUCAAUUUGGUUAGAUUGUUCACUUGGGAUUUCUAUACACUUUUGAAUUUAACGAAAGAAGAAAAGAUCCAAUUCACUUUUUCAAUAUCUACAUAGAUUAGAUUGUUUUAAAAGAUCUAGAUUUGACAAAAGGGAUAGUUUGUAUAUUCUCUCAUUCCUCACUUUUUGUUCUAAUAAGCUAAGUCAAAUAUCUAUUUGCUUUUAAAAUAGAUAAGAGAACUUGCGAUGGAUUUUUGGAGAAAAACAGAUUUAGCAAAUCAAUAGUUUGGACUACAUCGAGAUGGCUCUUCACGGUAUUGUUGGUAACGUAGAAGCGGCAUGAACCAACACGCAACAAGUAGUUGAGACUGAACACUUAAUGAAAGCUCCUUUGAAGCAUAAGGCUGGGUUGGCUCGAAGGAUAUUCACAAAGAUUGGAUUGGACAACACAUUAGUUUUGCAAGAAGCAAAUAAUUUUAUAUCUCGCCAACCAAAGGUAUGAGAAAUGAAGACUGAUUGUGAAUUCUGAGUAGUUCAUGAAAUAGAGCAUCAAAUCUUUUUCCUUGAAGGUUGUGUGGCUCAAUAUUAGGGUCACAUCUUAAUUCCUCCUGCAGAAUACAAAGAAGUACAAGAAGGAAAUGUGGGAUUUCUUUGUAUCUGUGGAGCAUAUAUUGUUAGUUUCUUUUUCAGACAAAAGAUUUAGUCAAAAGUUAUUUAGGAAUCUCCAACUUACAGAGAAGGCUUUGAUGGAUGCUUUCAAUGUUGUUCGGUGAAUCAGAGAUUAACUGAUCCGAGUAUGUAUCUCUCUCUCUAUAUAUAUCCUUAAGUUUUGUAGCCAUGUUUCUUCUGAAAAUAGCUGGGAUAUUCAAGUUGAUGUUGACAAAUGAGCUAAGAUGCUUUUGGCUAUGUCUAGAUUAUGUUUUGCUUCAUCUCCUGCUUACUGUCCUAAUCUAUUUAUGUUGUCCGGACUAGUCCAAUUUAGUAAUUAUUCAUUGCACAUGUACGAUGAAGUAUAGGAUAGGUGGCUAAGUGUUGAUGCUUCAUGCUUGAGGUCUUCUGGUUGCUGUUGUCUCACAUAAAAAAUUGACAAAAUAGGUGAGUUUUACAAGGUGAUGGUGUUUUUAACAAUAGCUAUCCAUUGCAAGUCCAGUUUAUUGUAGCUCUUCCCAUGGGCACUCCUAACCUAUAGUUUUGCCUGAAAAAACUCCUUCAACAUCUAAUAUUUCUAUUCCUAAUAUGUUUUUCAAUUACGUGCUUAUCUUUGAGACAUUACAUGACUAUUUUUUGGAAUAGGUAUAAUUUGGCUUCUCAACGAGCACUCUAACUGGUUCAUCAGACCAAGUACAAACUGAUGAUACUACGUUUUUUGGUGCUGGAAUCAAUCCACUGUGAUACCUGUGAAUUUAUUAGAUCUCAUAACUUAGUUUAAGAAAAAAUUCUCCCUGCUUCUUAAUAAAGUUGGCAGAUGAAAAGUCCAGUUACAUUUUCAACUGCAGACUCUAGCUUUCUGAUUUCUUCAUUUGCUUCUAUAUUUGAUUAAACCACCUAUCUGAACUAUCUAACAAGUUUCCCAAAUAUUACUUUAUUCAAUGUUAACUAUACAAUGUUAUCUAUACUUGAUCGAUAACUUAAAUCUCUCUCUCUACUUUAUGCAACAGGUCUCGGCCUGUGAUUACAUAUCUCAACCUGAGGAUGCAUCAGAUGUUGUUAUCUAUGUAAAUAAGAUUUAAUAAAAUAUACAAAUGAUUUUGUUCAACUCAACUCCUUAGAAAAUACUAUUAAGUAUCAAGUAAAUAAUAUAUUAUGUAUAUUUAUGUUUCACGA
Molecule: long non-coding RNA, 1992 nt
Organism: Capsicum annuum
Lineage: Eukaryota; Viridiplantae; Streptophyta; Magnoliopsida; Solanales; Solanaceae
Exons: 2
Source: RefSeq, a predicted model, not a curated record